RNAcentral lists this ribosomal RNA (468 nucleotides) under uncultured bacterium. RNAcentral's name for it is "partial 16S ribosomal RNA". It matches the Rfam family "Bacterial small subunit ribosomal RNA", at positions 28 to 507 of the family's 1533-position model. The record is from RNAcentral.
GACGAACGCUGGCGGCGUGCUUAACACAUGCAAGUCGAACGGAAAGGCCCUGCUUUUGUGGGGUGCUCGAGUGGCGAACGGGUGAGUAACACGUGAGUAACCUGCCCUUGACUUUGGGAUAACUUCUGGAAACUGGGGCUAAUACCGGAUAGGAGCUCCUGCUGCAUGGUGGGGGUUGGAAAGUUUCGGCGGUUGGGGUUGGAGUCGAGGCUUAUCAGCUUGUUGGUGGGGUAGUGGCUUACCAAGGCUUUGACGGGUAGCCGGCCUGAGAGGGUGACCGGCCACAUUGGGACUGAGGUGGGGGCCAGACUCCUACGGGGGGCAGCAGUGGGGAAUAUAGCACAAUGGGCGGAAGCCUGAUGCAGCAACGCCGCGUGCGGGAUGACGGCCUUCGGGUUGUAAACCGCUUUCGCCUGUGACGAAGCGUGAGUGACGGUAAUGGGUAAAGAAGCACCGGCUAACUACGUG